GAUGAACGCUAGCGACAGGCCUAACACAUGCAAGUCGAGGGGCAGCACAUGAGUAGCAAUACGAUGGUGGCGACCGGCGCACGGGUGAGUAACACGUAUGCAACCUGCCUGUAAGAGGGGAAUAACCCGGAGAAAUUCGGACUAAUACCGCAUAAUACCACGAGACUGCACGGUUUUGUGGUUAAACAUUUAUGGCUUACAGAUGGGCAUGCGUAUGAUUAGAUAGUUGGUAGGGUAACGGCCUACCAAGUCUACGAUCAUUAGGGGUUCUGAGAGGAAGGUCCCCAACUGGUACUGAGACACGGACCAGACUCCUACGGGAGCAGCAGUGAGGAAUAUUGGUCAAUGGGCAGAGCCUGAACCAGCCAAGUCGCGUGAAGGAAGAAGGUUCUAUGGAUUGUAAACUUCUUUUGCAGGGGAAUAAAGGACGGUACGUGUACUGUUUUGUAUGUACCUUGCGAAUAAGGAUCGGCUAACUCCGUGCCAGCAGCCGGGUAA
RNAcentral lists this ribosomal RNA (498 nucleotides) under uncultured bacterium. RNAcentral describes it as "bacterial SSU rRNA". It matches the Rfam family "Bacterial small subunit ribosomal RNA", at positions 28 to 523 of the family's 1533-position model. The record is from RNAcentral.